UGGGGAAUAUUGGACAAUGGGGGAAACCCGAUCCAGCGACGCCGCGCGAGUGAAGAAGUAUUUCGGUAUGUAAAGCUCUAUCAGCAGGGAAGAAAAUGACGGUACCUGACUAAGAAGCCCCGGCUAACUACGUGCCAGCAGCCGCGGUAAUACGUAGGGGGCAAGCGUUAUCCGGAUUUACUGGGUGUAAAGGGAGCGCAGACGGCGAAGCAAGUCUGAAGUGAAAUGCAUGGGCUCAACCCAUGAAUUGCUUUGGAAACUGUUUGGCUUGAGUGUCGGAGGGGUAAGCGGAAUUCCUAGUGUAGCGGUGAAAUGCGUAGAUAUUAGGAGGAACACCGGAGGCGAAGGCGGCUUACUGGACGACAACUGACGUUGAGGCUCGAAGGCGUGGGGAGCAAACAGGAUUAGAUACCCUGGUAGUCCACGCAGUAAACGAUGAAUACUUGGUGUCGGGGAGGUAAACUCUUCGGUGCCGCAAGCAAACGCAUUAAGUAUUCCACCUGGGGAGUACGUUCGCAAGAAUG
Molecule: ribosomal RNA, 524 nt
Filed under: uncultured bacterium
Lineage: Bacteria
Description: bacterial SSU rRNA
Rfam family: Bacterial small subunit ribosomal RNA
Source: RNAcentral